This 496-nucleotide ribosomal RNA is filed under the name uncultured bacterium. RNAcentral describes it as "partial 16S ribosomal RNA". It matches the Rfam family "Bacterial small subunit ribosomal RNA", at positions 28 to 507 of the family's 1533-position model. The record is from RNAcentral.
GAUGAACGCUGGCGGCGUGCCUAAUACAUGCAAGUCGAGCGAACAGACGAGGAGCUUGCUCCUCUGACGUUAGCGGCGGACGGGUGAGUAACACGUGGAUAACCUACCUAUAAGACUGGGAUAACUUCGGGAAACCGGAGCUAAUACCGGAUAAUAUAUUGAACCGCAUGGUUCAAUAGUGAAAGACGGUUUUGCUGUCACUUAUAGAUGGAUCCGCGCCGCAUUAGCUAGUUGGUAAGGUAACGGCUUACCAAGGCGACGAUGCGUAGCCGACCUGAGAGGGUGAUCGGCCACACUGGAACUGAGACACGGUCCAGACUCCUACGGGAGGCAGCAGUAGGGAAUCUUCCGCAAUGGGCGAAAGCCUGACGGAGCAACGCCGCGUGAGUGAUGAAGGUCUUCGGAUCGUAAAACUCUGUUAUUAGGGAAGAACAAAUGUGUAAGUAACUAUGCACGUCUUGACGGUACCUAAUCAGAAGCCACGGCUAACUACGUG